UACGGAGGGUGCAAGCGUUGUCCGGAUUUAUUGGGUUUAAAGGGUGCGUAGGCGGUUCGUUAAGUCCGGGGUGAAAGCCCACUGCUCAACAGUGGAACUGCCCUGGAAACUGGCGGACUUGAGUACAGACGAGGGCGGCGGAAUGGAUGGUGUAGCGGUGAAAUGCAUAGAUACCAUCCAGAACCCCCGAUUGCGAAGCAGCUGCCUAGACUGUAACUGACGCUGAGGCAACGAAAGCGUGGGGGAGCAAACAGG
RNAcentral lists this ribosomal RNA (255 nucleotides) under uncultured bacterium. Its description in RNAcentral is "partial 16S ribosomal RNA". It matches the Rfam family "Bacterial small subunit ribosomal RNA", at positions 524 to 776 of the family's 1533-position model. The record is from RNAcentral.